GUGAGGAAACAGAAGAAAUCUGCACCUGACCAGCAUUAUAUCUUGAUUUCUAAAUUUGGAGAAGGAUUAAUUUAUGUUUUAGUUGAAAACACCAGUUACUGCCAAUGGCUCAAAGCAAUGGUAACCUGACACAUUACAAAAGUCUCCGUUUCUGUCAGGCACCACAGACCUUCAAGGAAGACCAGAGCACUUCCAAGAUGUCAUCUAAGCAGAGAGGAGCUGACCAGAAUAUAAUUGUAUAAGGAAUGCUCACAAUAAACCAGAGUUCUUAUCCUGAGCUGUAACUGAUGCCCAAAGCAUGCCAUGAAGAAGAGAACUGCAAGAUUGGAAGAAAUACAAGUCAAAAUCUAAUAUAAAUGCUAAUGUACUUAUGUACUAAAAAUCUAGCAAAAUCUGAAAUAAAAGA
Molecule: long non-coding RNA, 406 nt
Organism: Cyanistes caeruleus (blue tit)
Lineage: Eukaryota; Metazoa; Chordata; Aves; Passeriformes; Paridae
Source: RefSeq, a predicted model, not a curated record